GAUGAACGCUGGCGGCGUGCCUAAUACAUGCAAGUCGAGCGAACGGACGAGAAGCUUGCUUCUCUGAUGUUAGCGGCGGACGGGUGAGUAACACGUGGAUAACCUACCUAUAAGACUGGGAUAACUUCGGGAAACCGGAGCUAAUACCGGAUAAUAUUUUGAACCGCAUGGUUCAAAAGUGAAAGACGGUCUUGCUGUCACUUAUAGAUGGAUCCGCGCUGCAUUAGCUAGUUGGUAAGGUAACGGCUUACCAAGGCAACGAUGCAUAGCCGACCUGAGAGGGUGAUCGGCCACACUGGAACUGAGACACGGUCCAGACUCCUACGGGAGGCAGCAGUAGGGAAUCUUCCGCAAUGGGCGAAAGCCUGACGGAGCAACGCCGCGUGAGUGAUGAAGGUCUUCGGAUCGUAAAACUCUGUCAUUAGGGAAGAACAUAUGUGUAAGUAACUGUGCACAUCUUGACGGUACCUAAUCAGAAAGCCACGGCUAACUACGUGCCAGCAGCCGCGGUAAUACGUAGGUGGCAAGCGUUAUCCGGAAUUAUUGGGCGUAAAGCGCGCGUAGGCGGUUUUUUAAGUCUGAUGUGAAAGCCCACGGCUCAACCGUGGAGGGUCAUUGGAAACUGGAAAACUUGAGUGCAGAAGAGGAAAGUGGAAUUCCAUGUGUAGCGGUGAAAUGCGCAGAGAUAUGGAGGAACACCAGUGGCGAAGGCGACUUUCUGGUCUGUAACUGACGCUGAUGUGCGAAAGCGUGGGGAUCAAACAGGAUUAGAUACCCUGGUAGUCCACGCCGUAAACGAUGAGUGCUAAGUGUUAGGGGGUUUCCGCCCCUUAGUGCUGCAGCUAACGCAUUAAGCACUCCGCCUGGGGAGUACGACCGCAAGGUUGAAACUCAAAGGAAUUGACGGGGACCCGCACAAGCGGUGGAGCAUGUGGUUUAAUUCGAAGCAACGCGAAGAACCUUACCAAAUCUUGACAUCCUUUGACAACUCUAGAGAUAGAGCCUUCCCCUUCGGGGGACAAAGUGACAGGUGGUGCAUGGUUGUCGUCAGCUCGUGUCGUGAGAUGUUGGGUUAAGUCCCGCAACGAGCGCAACCCUUAAGCUUAGUUGCCAUCAUUAAGUUGGGCACUCUAAGUUGACUGCCGGUGACAAACCGGAGGAAGGUGGGGAUGACGUCAAAUCAUCAUGCCCCUUAUGAUUUGGGCUACACACGUGCUACAAUGGACAAUACAAAGGGCAGCGAAACCGCGAGGUCAAGCAAAUCCCAUAAAGUUGUUCUCAGUUCGGAUUGUAGUCUGCAACUCGACUACAUGAAGCUGGAAUCGCUAGUAAUCGUAGAUCAGCAUGCUACGGUGAAUACGUUCCCGGGUCU
RNAcentral lists this ribosomal RNA (1372 nucleotides) under uncultured bacterium. RNAcentral describes it as "bacterial SSU rRNA". It matches the Rfam family "Bacterial small subunit ribosomal RNA", at positions 28 to 1381 of the family's 1533-position model. The record is from RNAcentral.